RNAcentral lists this ribosomal RNA (1487 nucleotides) under Enterococcus durans. RNAcentral's name for it is "bacterial SSU rRNA". It matches the Rfam family "Bacterial small subunit ribosomal RNA". The record is from RNAcentral. Lineage: Bacteria; Bacillati; Bacillota; Bacilli; Lactobacillales; Enterococcaceae.
CAGUGUGCCUAUACAUGCAAGUCGUACGCUUCUUUUUCCACCGGAGCUUGCUCCACCGGAAAAAGAAGAGUGGCGAACGGGUGAGUAACACGUGGGUAACCUGCCCAUCAGAAGGGGAUAACACUUGGAAACAGGUGCUAAUACCGUAUAACAAUCGAAACCGCAUGGUUUUGAUUUGAAAGGCGCUUUCGGGUGUCGCUGAUGGAUGGACCCGCGGUGCAUUAGCUAGUUGGUGAGGUAACGGCUCACCAAGGCCACGAUGCAUAGCCGACCUGAGAGGGUGAUCGGCCACAUUGGGACUGAGACACGGCCCAAACUCCUACGGGAGGCAGCAGUAGGGAAUCUUCGGCAAUGGACGAAAGUCUGACCGAGCAACGCCGCGUGAGUGAAGAAGGUUUUCGGAUCGUAAAACUCUGUUGUUAGAGAAGAACAAGGAUGAGAGUAACUGUUCAUCCCUUGACGGUAUCUAACCAGAAAGCCACGGCUAACUACGUGCCAGCAGCCGCGGUAAUACGUAGGUGGCAAGCGUUGUCCGGAUUUAUUGGGCGUAAAGCGAGCGCAGGCGGUUUCUUAAGUCUGAUGUGAAAGCCCCCGGCUCAACCGGGGAGGGUCAUUGGAAACUGGGAGACUUGAGUGCAGAAGAGGAGAGUGGAAUUCCAUGUGUAGCGGUGAAAUGCGUAGAUAUAUGGAGGAACACCAGUGGCGAAGGCGGCUCUCUGGUCUGUAACUGACGCUGAGGCUCGAAAGCGUGGGGAGCAAACAGGAUUAGAUACCCUGGUAGUCCACGCCGUAAACGAUGAGUGCUAAGUGUUGGAGGGUUUCCGCCCUUCAGUGCUGCAGCUAACGCAUUAAGCACUCCGCCUGGGGAGUACGACCGCAAGGUUGAAACUCAAAGGAAUUGACGGGGGCCCGCACAAGCGGUGGAGCAUGUGGUUUAAUUCGAAGCAACGCGAAGAACCUUACCAGGUCUUGACAUCCUUUGACCACUCUAGAGAUAGAGCUUCCCCUUCGGGGGCAAAGUGACAGGUGGUGCAUGGUUGUCGUCAGCUCGUGUCGUGAGAUGUUGGGUUAAGUCCCGCAACGAGCGCAACCCUUAUUGUUAGUUGCCAUCAUUCAGUUGGGCACUCUAGCAAGACUGCCGGUGACAAACCGGAGGAAGGUGGGGAUGACGUCAAAUCAUCAUGCCCCUUAUGACCUGGGCUACACACGUGCUACAAUGGGAAGUACAACGAGUCGCGAAGUCGCGAGGCUAAGCUAAUCUCUUAAAGCUUCUCUCAGUUCGGAUUGUAGGCUGCAACUCGCCUACAUGAAGCCGGAAUCGCUAGUAAUCGCGGAUCAGCACGCCGCGGUGAAUACGUUCCCGGGCCUUGUACACACCGCCCGUCACACCACGAGAGUUUGUAACACCCGAAGUCGGUGAGGUAACCUUUUGGAGCCAGCCGCCUAAGGUGGGAUAGAUGAUUGGGGUGAAGUCGUAACAAGAGCUC